This 1048-nucleotide long non-coding RNA is filed under the name Canis lupus familiaris (dog). Its description in RNAcentral is "p21". The record is from RNAcentral. Lineage: Eukaryota; Metazoa; Chordata; Mammalia; Carnivora; Canidae.
GCUGACCCAGCCUGUUUCUACUUGCUUUGCAUGAUUGUUCUUGAUUUUUCAAAAUAAUAAUAACAACUACUAACCAGGAAAAAAAAAAUCGCCCGGGGGGCCGUGGAGCAGGCUCCCGAUGCCAGAGCCCUGGGCCACCUGCUGCUCCCCGAGAUACCUACUCAGCAUUCUUAGUUUACAAAACCGAGAGCAAGUCUCUCCCCAAAUCGGGGCUCCGGAGCCCAAGCGGCUCUGAGGACGGAAUAUGCUGGAAUCAGCAGAAUCAGAAAGACAAAUAUUGUCUUGACGGCAUCCAUAACCGUAGCACAGUGAUUUCAGUUUUUUGAAAUCUUUAAAAUUCUAUUUGUAGUUUACUCAGAAGUGCAGUUUCGCCUUUCCAUAAUUUCCUGUAUUUAUUUUUUUAGGAGACAAUGCAUUCACAUGGUUCAUAGUCAAAAGUUGCAAAAUAAUAUGCAGGGAAAAUGUUCCAUCCUAUCUCUGCCUCGCAGCCACCCAUUUCCUUCCCAGGCGCUGCAGCUGAGAGCUGUGUCUCUUGCCAGAGUUAGACCAUGAACAUUCAGGUCCACAGGCCUUCAUCCAAAAUCCUUAGGGACAGAUUGGUUUCAGAAUCCAGAACUUUUCAGGUGUCAGACAGGUACCGAGGUGCAUAUACAUGUAUUUAGUAACACCUCCUCCCCCGACCCCCUGUAGGUUCUGUGUAGGAUGACUCAUCGCCCGGAUCUGAGCCCUGGAAGUUCCAUCCAGACUCAAGGAACCCUGUCAAUCCCAGGCAGACAGGCUGCAGGUCACCUGUAAGUCAGUAUAAGGUAUUCACACUAAUAAGGAUAAGUACCAACUGCAAGUGUCUUCACACCUUUUUAUCUCUUGUUUUGCUACCACAUAAGUUUGCCACAAACCAAAAGAAAGAUUGGUUUUCAGAUGUUUUUUUGGAUUUGGGGAUUAUGGACAAGGGACUGGAGACCUGUAAGCAAAUGUGCAUAUAUUCCUAUCACCCGCCCAAAUGGAAGCACAGUGUGGGGCACCUUGCUUUUUACCACUCAGUUUAUCU